This is a long non-coding RNA of Carya illinoinensis, 4621 nucleotides long. RefSeq lists it as uncharacterized. NCBI's taxonomy places the organism in Eukaryota, Viridiplantae, Streptophyta, Magnoliopsida, Fagales, Juglandaceae. The transcript is spliced from 2 exons. The record is from RefSeq and is a predicted model, not a curated record.
UCUUUUUUUGGGCCCAACCACCUACGCCUGAGGCGUGUCGUCUGGCCCAAUACAACAGAAAUGAUCAACGAGGGGAAAAAAAAAAUAAAGGAUAAGAAACCCUAGCGCGGUGGACUCUUUAAAAUGGGAGCCGUGCCAUCAACACCAGAUCUGAGUCCGUGCAUUCCAGCCUCCGCUCCCCAGAUAUGGAGCUCCGUACGGCAACAGCAGCCAUCCCAAACGUCCCCAACUACCACCGCAGACUCUCCGCUCCAAACCCUGUCUACCUCCUCCGCUCCAAACCUCUGUCCCUCUGAGAUCGACCAUUCUCCAUCGCACUGGUCGUGGCCUCCACUACCGUAUUUGAUGAAAAUAAAUUAAGGAUCUCUCACUUCGAGGGGAGCACCUCCAGCAAAGAAGAAGGAGAAUAGGGAAGAAACUGGAAAAUUCUAGUGCAUUUCGAUGAUGGAAAAUGCUCCUUACAUAGCGAUGCCCACGAGAUGGGCCUAGCUAGACGUAGAAAAUUAAAUGAAAGUGAUCCAAGUAUUAAGGGCCAAGGCCCAGUAUCUUUUACAACCAAAGUCAACAAAAGAACUAAUAACAUAUACAGAAAUAGUAAUGGGCUUAAACUGACCCAAGGCCCAACAAACGUACAGACUUCCAACUCAGUGGCUGAGGCCUGGUACCUGUUCUUGGACUGCGACAUAUGCUUGCUUGUAUACAUUCGAAUCACUCAUGAAUCUGAUUUCAUUUGCUUUUGAAGACUAAGAGUUUCUUUUGCUGAGCUUUUAACCUAAAAGAUAGAUGCCAUUGUACAAGUUUUUAGAACAUACGUGAGACACGUUUUGGCGUCCUGGAAAGAAAUUAAAGAAUCAAGACUAUAACUUUUGAGGUUUUAUGGUAUUUGAAUACGGAGUGCUUGAUUGUAUGGACAUUUUAUGGAGUAAGGUUGGUAACGUAGUUGACCUUGUGUGUUUAUGUUUCAUUCUAAUAUGUAAAGUGAUGCCCUCGAGGCAGAUGUCGUUGCUAUUGUUGUAACUCUCUUGGAUGCCCAAUAGAAACAAUUUUUUAACCAAAUUUCUAUUAUUUAGGGUUUUUCUUUUAUACUAAUCCGUUGCAAAGAGCAACCAUGUCUGAAGAAUCAUCAAGUCGAGCAAAUUAGUGUGUUGAUUAAGAACGUGAUGGUGUUAUAACCCUGGAAGAUGUUCAGCCAACUUAGAAUAAGACAUUCAUUGAAAAUAUGGCAUAUAGAUGUCUCUUCCGGAGAUGAGCAAACACAGUGGUUUGAGUUUUUUGAUAAUUUUCAUAAUAAGGUACCUUCAAAUCCCAGAAUUCCAUUUUGGUAGACAUUGGUGGUCUCAUCUAAAACAAGGGAAUGCUUCGUUUCUAAAUUGAAAAAAUAAUAGAUUGUGUGCUUAAAUGGAUAUUAAUAAUAAUUCAGCAUUUGCCAGUCUUUCCCGGGAAAGUAUCUCUCUCUUAUGUAACCAAAUAAACAUUUGAAAUUAAGUUAAUGAAAACGACCAAUCAACCUUGUUAAUGUUUCUGUGAUGUUAACAACCCCUAGGGGUUGGCUCAAGUGAUUAAGGCAUUGGUCUUGGUGGUAUGCUCCCUUCAAGGUCCAAGGUUCGAAUCUCAAUGGGUGCAAACAAUCUUUAGAGGCCAUUGGAUUGGGGGAUUUUCCCCUUGAAUUAUCCAAGAUGCACUUACGGGAAACUUCUUGUUAAAUACUUGUGCACUCCCGGGAUUAGUCUUGACACUGUUCCCAGACACCCGGUGCCAAUAAACAAAUAUGUUUCUGUGAUGUUAACAUUUACAAUUGAACUCAGAUCUUAAUAAAGUGUUGUGGUGACUCCUUCACAGUGGUCUAUGUUACAUAUUUUUGUGUUAAAUGGUUUUAGGCUAUGUGGGGUAGAUUAUCUUCUGACAGUUUUUAAUUAACAAGUAUUUUUUAUGUACUAAUAAUGUUCUUAUAUAUAUAUAUAUUUAUUUAUGGGGAAAUAUUUAUGUGACUUAGCAACUUUAAAAUAUAUGUUAUGUAAAUGUACGCAUAUAUUUCUUGAGGUACUUGAUAGUAUGAGAGAGAGAGAGAGAUGAAGCUAAAAUGGCCGGUGAUUGUUCAGGUGUACAUGAUCUAGUAGCUAUUCUCUUUUGUUGGAUGAUUUUAUCCUUUUUAUGAACGAUAAUGAUUAUUAUGUUCUUGCACAUUUAUAUAUAUGUUACUUUUGCAUUUAUAACACUAUUCCUUUUCUUCUAUUUUCUUAUUCAUAGCAAAUACAAUCAAGAAACUUUAUCUUUCAUCAGUCUUUUUUCAUGAGUUUUAGGGAGAGUGGGUGCUAUGAUGAUGCCUUCAGUGGUUGACAGUGUUCGUGGAAUACUGUAUGAAACGUCGACAACCAUGUCGAUCCUGAGCGGUUACCUGAGCACCCCAUCUAUUAGUAGUUUAAAUAAAUUGUUACAUCUCAGUUUUUGUUCUUUUCCUUCUCCCUUGUUCCAUAUAUUUCAUCAUCCCAUCAUUUUGUUCCUUGUCCACCUGGCUUUAUACUUUUUAAUGGUUUUUUUAUUUACUUGUAUGUAAAAGUUAAGUGUGUGUGGACCUUGCACAAACGCUUGCACCUUGCCAAUGGUACAAAAAUGAGUCAAUUGGGACUACAAUUUGGUUAUUUACUUCUCUGUCCUGAUGUUAGACGCAUUGAGUGACCAACUUUUGAUAUUUCUUAAAUAUUUUUUUUACUUCACAUCUUAUGAUUAGAACAGGAAUUAGUUGCUAUGAUGAUGGACAAAACAUUACGAAGCUUUCUAUAUAUGGUUGGUUGAUGAAAGUCAAUCCUGAGCGGUUACCUGCGCAACACGUGAUUCCUUCAAAAAAAGAGCUUCCUCUCCAUUUAUUUAUCCUUUUUUCCCCUUUCAUAUUUGGACUUCUAUGACCUUUUGUUGGCGUUCAAACUUAUCUUAAUGUUCAAUCCCUCUACAUUCUACAAAUGUGCAUGUGUUUUUUAUUAUGUAUCUUAUUCAUUAUGUAUUUAUUUAAAAAGUUUUGUAGAUCUCCCCAAGAUCACGGUCUGUUCAUCAUGACAGUGACUUACUUUCGUACUGCUUUCAAUCUCUUUUUAUGUUUAGACUUUUUUCAAUCAUUAUGUGAUAUUUUAAUUUAAACUUUAUAUUUAAAAUUUCUUCUUCCCACCCCCCUCCCUUUUCCCUGUGGGUGUAGGGGGUUUGAGUCUCUUUCCUGACAUACCAUAUGGCUAUGUAACUGCUUCUUGUAACUUUUGUUUUAAUUUUGUCUCUCUCGCUCUCUUUUUUUGGUCUGGAAAUCCUGCAGGGUAAUGUUGUCCAUUUUGAUUAUGUAUGCCUACCCCUCCACUGUUUAUAUCAUUAAGGGAGUUUUUGUUUGAUUAGGUGAGCACUUGGUCAACAACAUGCAAUUAUUGACUCCCUUCUGUGGGUAAAAUAUAAAUUUAAGAAGUUAAGUUUCUUAGUUUGUAACAGAGAUUAUCAGCCCCCACCAUUAAAAAAAAAAAAAACCUGAACAUUGCUAAUCUUUGUGGCUGGUUGCUCUGGUAUUUUCCUACUUUGGAGAACGCCAAGCACAUUCGUAUUAUACAUGAAAAUGACCAGAGUUUUUUUGUUUAGAUUGCACGUAUAAUGUGUCAAAUGUUUCUUCAAAAAAAAAUAAAAUAAAGUCAUGUAAUGGGUCAAUGUUAAUACUAGCAGUCAAAUUGCUGAGUGGUUUUCUAAUUCAAUUACCAUAUUUGAUAGCCAUUUGGUUUUUGUUACAUUGAUGCCUUGCUUAGUUACAUGCAGUUUGACUUGGACAAUGCAUAUACUAUUCUUUUAUAUGGUGGCAGUGCCUUGUUGCCCUGUGGUUAGCAUCAACCAUUGUCAGCGCUACUGAUUCUAUUCCACUGGUGUGUAUUUUGUGUUAGGUCUGUUGUUUCUUGGAAUUAUAAACAAGGUAUUCCUUGUAAUCUGAUAAAUUGAUAGUCAAAUGUAAUGAAAUCAGUUUCAAUAAAAUAUCUUCUUUAAAAAAUAUAUAUAUAUAUAUUGUAAUGAAACCAGUUUCCCUAGUUGAUGGAAGUUGUGGGUCUCUGCUCAUUCUGGUUCAGAUAUUGCUAUCUGAUCUUUGAGUUAUCUACUGAAUGUGCUGGGUUUUGAAUUAAUCGCCUGCUUUUAUCAGCUAAAAUUGAAGAGCUUAAGCGAGAGAUUCUUGGUUCAAAUGGUGAUUGACAUGGAGUCACCAAUUGCUUUGUUUAGGUAUAAGUAGGGAGCAAUAGAUAAUUAAUAGUUAAGGCGAUAUAUUUGUUACCUUUUUUCAUUUUCCACUGAAGAUAUAUGGAUAACGAGUAUAAAUUUGUUUAGUUAGUUGUGUUUAACUUGGUUGAUCAGGGAGGGAUGAAUAUUCGGGUCAUUUUGCUUUGUAACUAUAUUCGGUGGUACGAUUUCUUGUGUGAUCAUGGUAAAGGGUUCUAAGGGUAAACAUGCAUUUGUCAUACUAGACCUCUCGGAAUAGAGGAAGAGAGAAACGGAGUUGUGUGGCAUUGCUGGAGAUAUCCGGAUGUCUAUUGUUAUGCGAUCUUUGAACUCGAACCCAGAAUCAUCUGGACAAGGAUAUAAAUGAAGUGGACGUAUAAUUUAGCGUGACCAA